CAUGCUAAGUUAUUAUGUCUUUGAGUUGCAAGUCAAAAAGUUAGUAGUCAAGAUGGACCUUGAUCAAUUAUGAAUAAUAGACAUUCUAUGAAAAAUUUGUGUUUACACUUGGUAUGCAAGUUCUAAAGUUGAAAGAGUUAUCAAGAUCUCUAUCCUGUUUUCUCUCAGAGGAUUUGUGUCGCUUUCGAAUCUCGAGGACGAGAUUCAUUUUAAGGGGGUAGAUUUGUAACACCCUAAAAAUUGUUUCCUUGGAAAUAGAGCUAAAAUGAUUUAAUUUGGUAUUUUUUUGUGCUCAUGAAAAUAUAGGAAAAUAAUAAUUUUCAUUAAAUUAAAAUCUAUUCUAAGGACUUAGCAACUUAUUUGUGCAUUCAUGCUGGAGAAUUCAUUUUAUUGUGCUGAGUGAUUUGACCAAAGUACAACAAUAUUUCAAAUAGAUUUUAAAUGGAUUUGAAAAUUGCUUGAAAGAAAAGAAUUUAAAGAAAAGAAAAAAAGAAAUAGAAAUCUCUCCCUCUCUCUAUUUUGGCCAGAAGGCCCCAAAACCCUCUUUCUCCCCUUUUGGCCCAGAACCAGCAGGGAGCCCACGCCAUGUGUUUCCCCCUCCCCCUCUUUGUUUCGGCCUGAGUGGCCAUCUCUCUCUCCCUCGGGCCCAAGUUCCCCCUCUCCCUGCAUUUGGCCCAGC
Molecule: long non-coding RNA, 679 nt
Filed under: Sorghum bicolor (sorghum)
Lineage: Eukaryota; Viridiplantae; Streptophyta; Magnoliopsida; Poales; Poaceae
Description: long non-coding RNA (SBIC_LNC008745)
Source: RNAcentral